AUUUUGGAUACAUAUGGCUAAAUUGCUCCUUAGACACUACUAAUUGACACCCCACAGCAAUGUUUUCUACCGGUAGAGUCUUUCCAACCCUUUGGAUCUUUACCAAUCCAGUUGUUGCAAAAUUCUCUCUCAAGUACAGUUACAAUUUACGUUUUACAUUUAUUUAAUAUUUUGAAAUCUUUGUUCAUGGAACUGUGAUGGCCCUGCCUCUGUGUACUUCAUUCACAAACGUCCGUUUCAACAUAUUUCACUCUUACAGCUUCGAGAAUUUGUCGGGUCUACUGGUGUGGGCUUUUGCAUGUGCUGUUCUCUCCUUGGAAAGCUCUUUCCUUAGUAAACUACCAUAGUCUGAAUGUGCCCCCACUUCCCUCAGUUCAUUUCUUUAAAUCCUAAUGCUCAAGGCGUCAGGAGAUGGGGCCCUGGGAGAUGAAUAGGAUUAGUGCCUUAUAAAAGAGGCCCCAGAGAGAACCCUCGCUCCUUCCGCGUGUGAGGCUACGGUGAGAAGCCAGCGCUCUGAGGAAGCCAGCCCUUGCCAGACGUGGAAUCUGCAGACGUCUUGAUCUUGAACUUCCCAGCCUCCAGAACUUUCCAAGAUCUCUUUUGGCUUCCUGACGGAUGGUCAGCAGAGGCCACCUGCACCAUAGUGUCAGUCGAGUUGUGGUAAGUGCAGCUAUAACAAGGGUAAGUAAUGUUCUGUGUGAUUGGUUAACAUUCAGAGUAGACACAGGCUGGUGUGGAUGACUGUCCUGCUUAAUGCCGUGAGUAGCUGUUUAUUUGCUGUCCUCCCGUCCAUGGAGGCCCUUAACAUUUUACUAUUAAAUAUGAAGGUGCGCUUUAUCAGAUUCAGAAAAUUUUCCUCUCUUUAUAGUUUGAGUUUUAAAAAAUCAUUAAUGGAUGUUUAAUUUUAUUUUGUGCAUUUUAUUUAUCUAUUGAGACUAUCAUAUGGGUUUUCUCCAUUAAUUUGUAAAUGUGGUAAAUUAAAUUCUAAUGUUGAAUAAUUUCUGAUUCCCAACAGAAAGCACUUUUUUAAUAUGUGUCUGGAUUUGAUUUGCUGCCAUUGUGUUUAGGCUGUUUGUUUCCGUGUUCAUGAGAGAGAUUAGCUUCUAAUUUUCUUCCUUAUACUGUAC
This 1127-nucleotide long non-coding RNA is filed under the name Equus asinus (donkey). Its description in RNAcentral is "lncRNA (ENSEASG00005026474.1)". The record is from RNAcentral. Lineage: Eukaryota; Metazoa; Chordata; Mammalia; Perissodactyla; Equidae.